CUGGGAACUUCCACGUGCUGCAGGUGCAGAUAAAAAAGUUCAUAAUUGUAUAAUAUGUAGUCAUAUGUAGGAAAAGGUUAUAGAAAAGAGGAUAGAUACCAUUGUGGUUAAAAAAAAAAAGGAAAUAACACAUAGUGAGUAAUUUGUCUCUUUUGAAGUCAAGAAAAUAUCAUUUGUAAUGCCUGAGCAGUGUUACAUGAAAUAUUGUAUAGCUAUGAGUCAAAAACAUAAAUUGCUCUAUUUUUUCCUAUGAAUUUCACUCUCUUAUCAUAACAAAAUAUAUGCUAGCAACAGUUGGGAUAUUAAGUUCCUAUUCUCUUAUUAUUUGAAAAGAAACAGAAACUGUUUCCUUUAGUUCAGCAACAAUAAGAAAGUUUUCUGUGCCAUGAUAGCUUUUACUUAAGGUAAAUUAUAAUUUCAGCCAGAAUACAUUAAAUUCCUACCCAUCAAGUAGCUUUAUUUUUAGCAUGUAUUUUAUGAAUAAUUCUUUAUGAGUUAUGCAAACCUAGGUGAUUCUAUUAAUCAGCUUGAACCUCAAUUAAAUGUUGAUAAAACUGGAAUUAUCCAAAGACAAUUUGAGUGAUCAUUUGAACUUAGUCCUUAUUAUUUGCCUGAUCAUCACAAAUUAGCAUGUGACUAUAUCUAGACACAUAGUAUGUAAGGUCACUAAUGUAUGAGAAACAAAAAAUUAAAGAAGUAUGAUUUGGCUUUAAUAAUUGAUUAGGAUAUAAAACCAAUUUUUAAAUAUUUUCAAAUGCAGUCUAAAAUAAUUAUCUUCAUUUGCCUUGCGAUAUUAAACAGACAUAUUAAACAGGCAUUUCUUUUUGUUUUUCUUCUUAUGGCCUUACCUGCGGCCUAUGGAAGUUCCCAGGCUAGGGGUCAAAUUGGAGGUGCAGCUGCCAGCCUACACCACAGCCAUGGCAGUACCAGAUCUAAGCUACAUCUACGACCUAUGCUUCAGCUUGCGGCAAUGCCAAUCCUUAAUCCACUGAGCCGGGCCAGGGAUCGAACCCGCACACUCACAGACGCUAUGUCGGGUUCUUAACCCACGGAGUCACCACGGGAACUCGUAGACAAACAUUUCUCAAACAUUUAUUUUCUAAGAUGCUUGUGCAAUACUCAUUUUUCUUUUUGUUUCAAAUGAAAUACAUGAAAGAGACAGUUCCACGCAAAUCAUAAUCAAUUCACACUGACAUGAUGGCAUCGACAUUAGCCAUGCCAUAUGCCUGGCUACGAAAAGGAGUGAUGAGUAUGUGCCCCCUGAUUUACUAUGAACCUAUUAAUAAUGCACAUGAAUGGCACAUCCCUGAAAUCUGUGAAUGUACGGAUCCAGUGUUUGACUGAGCUCUUUCCUCACCCUCGCCAGUUUCCUCACGCCUCUUUUAAUUCUCCGCACUGCGGCUACCGCUGCCAGCCAGCGUCCUCAGGCAGUGCACUGAUCUGCACUGCUUCACUCUAGGAUUCUUUGUAUUUUCUAUCGUUUGAUUGAAAUGACAUCACACUCUUCUCGUUGGCCUCUUUCCCUCAGCGUAAUUAUUUCGAGAGGUCCAGGUUGUGUGUAUCAACAGUUAUUUUUUUAUUACUGAGUGGUAUUCUACCCUACCAUUUGUUUUUCAAUUCAUCUGAUAACGGACAUUAAAUAUGAUACUAAUACCUUGUCUAGGAACAUGGUGAACAAGACUUUAUGUCAGUGCAAGAUGUAAUUUAUCUCGGGUUAAAUCCCUGGAAAUCAAAUAGUUGCAUCAAGUGUCAGGAGGAUGCUAAACUUAUUACAAAAAACCUUUUUAAAACUACAAAACUGUAAUCCACAGUGUUGUACAAUGUUACAUUCCCAUCAGCAUUAAAUGAAUGUUCCAGUUACUUAAUAGCCUGACAAAAACGGUCAGGCUUUCGAAGUUCAAGACAUUCUAAUAAGUGGAUAUCUCAUUGCAGGUUUAAUGUAUUUGAAAAUCAUUAAAGAAUAAUGAUAUCAAGCAUCUUUUCAUAUGCGUGGUAUGAAAAGCAUAUGAUUUGGUUGAAUGUCUGUUCAGUCCUUUAUCCAUGUUUACUUGGAUUUCUUGUUUAAUUAUUGAGCGUGUGCGUUUUUAAAUAUACUAUGUGCUUAUAAAUUACAAAUAUUUUAUCCUAGUAAAUAACUGGUUUCUUAAUUCUGUCUUUCAAAAAGCGUUUUUUUUAAUUUGGAUGAAAUCCAACAUAAAUAAAACUUACUAAAUAAGAGCAAAUCCUUUAAAAUAUAGAAGGAUGGUUUGACUUAGGCAUUUUUCCCCCAUUUACAGUGGUACAACAGCCAUAUGCAUUCAGUAGAACAAUACUUUGAAGUUCAAAAGUUAGUCUUUUCCUGAGCUUGUGAUAUGCAGUAACAACUGUUACACUUACAGCCAUUCUGGCCCAUCCAGUCAUUCAGCAUUUCACUUUCAGUAUAAUAUUCAGUAAAUUACUUAAGAUAUUUAACACUUUAUUAUAGAAUGGUCUUUGAGUUUGCCCACCUACAGGCUCAUGUAAAUGUUCUGACGACAUCUAAGUUAGUCUAGGCUAAACCGUGGUGUUGACUCAGUGAGGUAUAUUACACAAAUUAUCAACACACAAUGGGUUUAUCAGAACUUAACCUCGUCUCAGGUUGAGUAAGAUCUGUAUAGUCAAACUUGUUUCAUAUCCUAGACUGCAGUUUAUUAAAAAUAGAUUCUUUGGUUCUCUAUGCUUGUUUCCUGAGCUGUUGUUGACAUACAAAAAAACCUGUACGUACUUACCAUAUUCACCUUGAUGAGUUUAGAGAUCAGUGUAUAUUUGUGAAACUAUCACCACCAACUAUGUCAUAAUGUAGUAUACAUCAGCUAGUGGUAUAUGCAUACAAGGGAAUAAUAUCCAGCCCUACCCAAAAGAAGGAAGUCUUGCCCCUUGCAAUGACGUGAACGGGCCUGGAGAAGGUGAUACUAAGUGAAAAAAGCCAAACACAGAAAGACAAACACUACAUGAUACUACUCAUAUGAGGAUAUAAAAUAGUCCGAAUCAUAGAAGCAGAAAAUGAACCAAUGGUUGUCAGAGGCUGGGGAAAGGGGAAAACAGGGAAGUAUUAGUCAAAAUAGAUUCUUAUUCAUCAAAGAAAAAUAAACUAGAAUAUAAUACAAUACUAUGAUGUACUACCAAAUGGCUUAAAAUGGGAAGCAACAGUAAACAAAACUAAAAAAUAUAAAAUAAAGAAUUAUACAGAAUAUUACCAAGACUGUGGAAAAGCUGAAUAGUUCUGGCGUCGCUGGCAGAAAUAUUAAUUGGUAGCAACCCCUUUGAACUACAUUGGAAAAUUCUGGUAAUGUCUGCAAACUGUAACUUCUAUUCCAGCAACUCCUUUCCUACAUAUAAUUCCACACACACACACAAAUGCAUUUGUGUUUGUCCCAAAGGCACAUACUAGAUGGAAUGUUUGACAAUAUUUGGGAUGGCAACAAACUGGGGACUCCCUACAUGCUCUUCAUUAGUAUCAGGGCGCCAUCACACCAUGGAAUCCUAGAGACAAUGUGAUAAACACCAGGCAACUGCCCACACCAACGUGAACGAACGAAGACAGAUGCAGAGCAUGGAGUAUAUGAUCUGAUUGACAGAAUGCACUCAACUCCCCUCUGCUGGUGAAUGUCAGGAGGAGGGGUGGUGACGGAACGAGGGCGCAGAAGAAACAGCUGAGCAGUGGACACGCUCUUCAUCUCCUGGGGCUGGUUAUGCAGGUGUGUUCCCCUUGUGAGCACUCAAAACGAUGCACAAUGAUCACAAGUACGACUUUCUGUAUAUACUUUAAUAAAAAUAAAUACAAGAACGGAGUAUGGCGGAAAAAUGUUACCCUGGAUAAUGUCCAAUACCGUAAGCAUGGCCCUCCCUUUCACGUUGAACUGCUCGGAAGAAUCUCCGAGGCUGUAUUUUCCUUGCCCUUUUCUUGGGUCUUUCUACGACUGAGUUCAUUGUGCCUCCCAGAGGACAUCUGGCUUGCGGUUCCCUGACUUGCAGUUUUGUGGUUUUUAAGGCAUGUCGUCAAAUUGUCACCCAGUUGAGUUUGUUUCCAGGCAUUCAUUUUGAAUGAGAAAGAAGAUAAUACUUGUGUUCUCAGAAUUCACUAAGAUCUCUUUGGGGGGGGGGACAUUUUGAUUUUCUGUAUGUGGGGAACAGAUUGUAUCCAUCACUCCUUUCUUAAACUCACAGUUCUGUUCUCAACUUUUAAAAGGAAAAGAUUUUAAAAACUGGAUAAAAAGAAAAACACACCUUGAUUAAAGGGAUAAUAAAAAAGUAACUUGUGCAAGUAGAGAUUGCUUAUCUGGUUUCUAUCUCCGUAAGAGCUGUUAGUGUACGCGUGGCAGAAGAAGGGCGGCCUUCCCUCGUGGCACAGAGGGUUGAGGUUCUGGCGCUGUCACUGCAGUGGCUCGUGGUCACUGUUGUGGUGUGGGUUUGAUCCCUGGCCGGGGAACUUCCCCAUGCUGUGGGCAUGGCCGAAAAAAAGGAAGAAAGACAUCCUGAGCAUGAAGAUGUGUUGCUCAUGGUUAGGAGUAGAGGCAAUUUAAGACAAACAGAAUUACUGAUGAGAAUUCUCAAAGACUGGCCACGUAGACUCUCUUAGCUACUCCGGCAUAUUUUAGAUGGAAGCAGGAUCUUGGUAACCAAAUUCGUGGCUCUGUGGGCAGUCUGUACAGGCCACAACGCAGAGCCAUACGUGCACUAUCUCAAGUAUACAUUUAAUAAACAUGUGGUUGAGGGCUUUCCGGAUGAGCCAACUUCUCCAUUUGAUUUUGGAAACCAGCCUCCUCAAUCUAAAGGCAUAUUGGGCUUUGGAGGUUAACAUUCAUUUAUGAAUUUGUAAUAAAUGAUCUAUUUAUCCAAAAUCCAUUCUGGAAGCUAGCUAGCAUUUACUCAAAUUACAGUUUUUAUAUUCUUGGCAAGGCAUUAGGUUCAUGUGCUUUCACAAAGAAUUAUGAUUUGGUGUUUAGAAAUAGAAGAAUAACUUCUUGACUUUGAUGAAUAAUAGGAAAGAAGAAACAAAAUAAAACUAAUAUAUACAUAUGCCUAUAUAUAUGAAUACACAUAUAUAAUACAUAUUAUAUAUAUAUAUGUGUGUGAACAAGUUAAAUUACUCAUAAUAUCCCCAUCUUUAUAUGGCUCUGAGGGUUUCACUGGAUCUGUAUACAAUGACAAUAAUAUGAUGAGGGCCUUUUUUUUCCCAAAGUUUUAAAUACAUAAUGUAGUUCUGCCUUUUUAUUUCUAUUUAAAGUAAAGCUUGUUAUGCCAGACUGUGAGAUGUUUCCAUUUGGUUGAAUCAAUAAGGACAUGACAAUUUUUAUUUUUGCAAGAUGAUAUUUUUUCACAAUUUCCAAACCUCUUUUUCUAAGAGGAGUUAAUUC
Molecule: long non-coding RNA, 5375 nt
Filed under: Sus scrofa (pig)
Lineage: Eukaryota; Metazoa; Chordata; Mammalia; Artiodactyla; Suidae
Description: lncRNA (ENSSSCG00065008194.1)
Source: RNAcentral